This 253-nucleotide ribosomal RNA is filed under the name uncultured bacterium. Its description in RNAcentral is "partial 16S ribosomal RNA". It matches the Rfam family "Bacterial small subunit ribosomal RNA", at positions 524 to 776 of the family's 1533-position model. The record is from RNAcentral.
UACGUAGGAGGCAAGCGUUGUCCGGAUUUAUUGGGUUUAAAGGGUGCGUAGGCGGCCCUAUAAGUCAGUGGUGAAAGCCGACAGCUUAACUGUCGAACUGCCAUUGAAACUGUAGGGCUUGAGUACAAAUGAGGUAGGCGGAAUUGAUGAUGUAGCGGUGAAAUGCUUAGAUAUCAUCAAGAACACCGAUUGCGAAGGCAGCUUACUAAGAUGUAACUGACGCUGAGGCACGAAAGUGCGGGGAUCAAACAGG